UACGUAGGCAGCAAGCGUUGUUCGGAAUUACUGGGCGUAAAGAGUGUGUAGGCGGUGUUCUAAGUUUGUCGUGAAAUCUCCCGGCUUAACCGGGAGGGUGCGGUGAAUACUGAGGGACUAGAGUACGGGAGAGGAAAGUGGAAUUCUCGGUGUAGCGGUGAAAUGCGUAGAUAUCGAGAGGAACACCUGCGGCGAAGGCGGGUUGCUGGGCUGACACUGACGCUGAAGUGCGAAAGCUAGGGGAGCGAACGGG
RNAcentral lists this ribosomal RNA (253 nucleotides) under uncultured bacterium. Its description in RNAcentral is "partial 16S ribosomal RNA". It matches the Rfam family "Bacterial small subunit ribosomal RNA", at positions 524 to 776 of the family's 1533-position model. The record is from RNAcentral.